GAUGAACGCUGGCGGCGUGCCUAAUACAUGCAAGUCGAACGGACGGGCGCGAAGCUUGCGUCUCGGAUGUUUGCGGCACACGUGUGAGUAACGCGUGGAUCACGUACCUGUAAGACUGAGAUAACUUCGAAACACCGUAGCAAAUACGAUAUAAUCUUUUGCUCCGCAUGGUGGAAAAGAGAGAGACGGUCUUGCUGCAACGUAUAGAUGGAUCUGCGCUGCAUUGGCUGGUUGGUAAGGUAACGGCUUUUCAAGGCUACGAUGCCUGGCAGAAGUGAGGGGGUGAUCGGCCACACUGGAAGUGAGACACGGUCCAGAGUCCUACGGGAGGCAGCAGUAGGGAAUCGUCCGCAAUGGGCGAAAGCCUGACGGAGCAACGCCGCGUGAGUGAUGAAGGUCUUCGGAUCGGAAAACUCUGUUAUUAGGUAAGAACAUAUUUGUAAGUAACUGUGCACAUCUUGACGGUACCUAAUCAGAAAGCCACGGCUAACUACGUG
RNAcentral lists this ribosomal RNA (497 nucleotides) under uncultured bacterium. RNAcentral describes it as "partial 16S ribosomal RNA". It matches the Rfam family "Bacterial small subunit ribosomal RNA", at positions 28 to 507 of the family's 1533-position model. The record is from RNAcentral.